RNAcentral lists this ribosomal RNA (395 nucleotides) under uncultured bacterium. Its description in RNAcentral is "partial 16S ribosomal RNA". It matches the Rfam family "Bacterial small subunit ribosomal RNA", at positions 523 to 918 of the family's 1533-position model. The record is from RNAcentral.
AUACGUAGGGUGCAAGCGUUAAUCGGAAUUACUGGGCGUAAAGCGUGCGCAGGCGGUUUUGUAAGACAGUGGUGAAAUCCCCGGGCUCAACCUGGGAACUGCCAUCGUGACUGCAAGGCUGGAGUGCGGCAGAGGGGGAUGGAAUUCCGCGUGUAGCAGAGAAAUGCGUAGAUAUGCGGAGGAACACCGAUGGCGAAGGCAAUCCCCUGGGCCUGCACUGACGCUCAUGCACGAAAGCGUGGGGAGCAAACAGGAUUAGAUACCCUGGUAGUCCACGCCCUAAACGAUGUCAACUGGUUGUUGGGGAUUUAUUUUCUCAGUAACGAAGCUAACGCGUGAAGUUGACCGCCUGGGGAGUACGGCCGCAAGGUUAAAACUCAAAUGAAUUGACGGGG